UUGCAAGCAAGGUGAAGUCAUUAGAACACCUUCAGUGACGGAUGCUAAUUGGCCAAUGGUGUUGAAUGUAAACUUUAAAGGAAGACAGUUGUCAGUCCAAUUGAAGAAGAAGGAGGUUUACAUAAAAAAGACGGGAAUGUAUAACCUCUUCUUCAUUUCAUGUGAUCCUAAGCUUAAGGGAAUGAAGGUAUCUGGGAGGACAGUAUGGAAAAAUCCUGAUGGAUAUUUGCCUGGUCGAAUGUCACCCCUAAUGAAAUUUUAUGCUAUAAUGACCGUGGCAUAUAUACUUCUCACUGCAAUCUGGUGUCUUCAGUAUGUCAGACACCGGCAGGACGUUCUGCCGCUCCAGUACUGCAUCACUGGAGUUAUUGCCCUUGGGUUAUUAGAGAUGAUAUUUUGGUAUUUUGAUUAUGCUUAUUUCAACAAUACUGGUGCAAGGCCUGUGGGACUCACGAGUUGGGUUGUUACAAUUGGAUCCACAAGGAGAACUGUUUCACGCCUUCUUAUUCUUUCUAUCUCAAUGGGUUAUGGUGUUGUUCGCCCUACCCUUGGUGGUCUCACCACAAAGGUGCUCCUUCUUGGAAUAACCUAUUUUGUGGCCUCUAUACUGCUAAACAUUACCGAAUACGUUGGUGCAAUAAAUGACAUUGCAGGGCGAGCAAGAAUUAUGUUGGUCCUUCCUGAUGCGUUGUUAGAUGCAUUUUUGAUCUUAUGGAUUUUCACUUCUCUUUCAAAGACACUGGAGCAGCUGCAGGCAAAGAGGAGUUCUGUGAAGUUGGAUAUUUACAGACAAUUUUCAAAUGCAUUAGCAAUCACUGUCAUUGCUUCAGUUGCAUGGAUUGGAUAUGAGGUUUACUUCAAAGCAACA
This 868-nucleotide unclassified non-coding RNA is filed under the name Hevea brasiliensis (rubber tree). Lineage: Eukaryota; Viridiplantae; Streptophyta; Magnoliopsida; Malpighiales; Euphorbiaceae. The record is from RNAcentral.